GAUAAACGCUGGCGGCGUGCCUAAUACAUGCAAGUCGAGCGAACAGACGAGGAGCUUGCUCCUUCGACGUUAGCGGCGGACGGGUGAGUAACACGUAGGUAACCUACCUAUAAGACUGGGAUAACUUCGGGAAACCGGAGCUAAUACCGGAUAAUAUUUCGAACCGCAUGGUUCGAUAGUGAAAGAUGGCUUUGCUAUCACUUAUAGAUGGACCUGCGCCGUAUUAGCUAGUUGGUAAGGUAACGGCUUACCAAGGCAACGAUACGUAGCCGACCUGAGAGGGUGAUCGGCCACACUGGAACUGAGACACGGUCCAGACUCCUACGGGAGGCAGCAGUAGGGAAUCUUCCGCAAUGGGCGAAAGCCUGACGGAGCAACGCCGCGUGAGUGAUGAAGGUCUUCGGAUCGUAAAACUCUGUUAUUAGGGAAGAACAAACGUGUAAGUAACUGUGCACGUCUUGACGGUACCUAAUCAGAAAGCCACGGCUAACUACGUG
This 497-nucleotide ribosomal RNA is filed under the name uncultured bacterium. RNAcentral describes it as "partial 16S ribosomal RNA". It matches the Rfam family "Bacterial small subunit ribosomal RNA", at positions 28 to 507 of the family's 1533-position model. The record is from RNAcentral.